RNAcentral lists this ribosomal RNA (508 nucleotides) under uncultured bacterium. RNAcentral describes it as "bacterial SSU rRNA". It matches the Rfam family "Bacterial small subunit ribosomal RNA", at positions 31 to 518 of the family's 1533-position model. The record is from RNAcentral.
GAACGCUGGCGGCGUGCUUAAUACAUGCAAGUCGAACGAAGAGCCCUUAACCGAAGAUGAUGACGUGCUUGCACUGAAUCUGAUUCACCUUAGGGUUACUGAGUGGCGGACGGGUGAGUAACGCGUGGGUAACCUGCCUUAGACAGGGGGAUAACAUCAAGAAAUUGGUGCUAAUACCGCAUAUGCUCACAGUAUCGCAUGAUACAGUGAGGAAAACUCCGGUGGUCUAAGAUGGACCCGCGUCUGAUUAGCUAGUUGGAGGGGUAACGGCCCACCAAGGCGACGAUCAGUAGCCGACUUGAGAGAGUGAUCGGCCACAUUGGGACUGAGACACGGCCCAAACUCCUACGGGAGGCAGCAGUAGGGAAUAUUGCACAAUGGGGGAAACCCUGAUGCAAGCGACGCCGCGUGAAGGAUGAAGUAUUUCGGUAUGUAAACUUCCAUCAGCAAGGAAGAAAAUGACGGUACUUGACUAGGAAGCCCCGGCUAAAUACGUGCCAGCAGCUGC